UGGGGAAUUUUGCACAAUGGGCGGAAGCCUGAUGCAGCGACGCCGCGUGGAGGAUGAAGGCCUUCGGGUUGUAAACUCCUUUUCUCAGGGACAAUGAUGAUGGUACCUGAGGAAUAAGCCACGGCUAACUCUGUGCCAGCAGCCGCGGUAAGACAGAGGUGGCGAGCGUUGUUCGGAAUCACUGGGCUUAAAGGGCGCGUAGGUGGUAGUGCAAGUCUGGGGUGGAAUCCUGCGGCUUAACCGCAGAACUGCCCUGGAAACUGUAUUACUUGAGUCAGUGAGGGGAGGGUAGAAUUCCUGGUGUAGCGGUGAAAUGCGUAGAUAUCAGGAGGAAGGCCGGUGGCGAAGGCGGCCCUCUGGCGCUGAACUGACACUGAGGCGCGAAAGCGUGGGUAGCAAACAGGAUUAGAGUACCCUGGUAGUCCACGCCCUAAACGGUGGGUACUAGGUGUAGGGCUCGUAAGGG
Molecule: ribosomal RNA, 466 nt
Filed under: uncultured bacterium
Lineage: Bacteria
Description: bacterial SSU rRNA
Rfam family: Bacterial small subunit ribosomal RNA
Source: RNAcentral